CUUGGCGGCAAUAGCCUGCUGGACCCACCCCUUCCCUUCCCGAACAGGACCGUGAAACAGCAACGCGCCAAUGAUAGUGAGCAUCUCGCUCGCGAAAGUAGGUCACCGCCAGGC
This 114-nucleotide ribosomal RNA is filed under the name Rhodocyclaceae bacterium. The record is from RNAcentral. Lineage: Bacteria; Pseudomonadati; Pseudomonadota; Betaproteobacteria; Rhodocyclales; Rhodocyclaceae.